This 715-nucleotide long non-coding RNA is filed under the name Pan troglodytes (chimpanzee). Its description in RNAcentral is "lncRNA (ENSPTRG00000054031.1)". Lineage: Eukaryota; Metazoa; Chordata; Mammalia; Primates; Hominidae. The record is from RNAcentral.
GUGCCUUUAAAAGAUUCUGACAUUUAUAUCUUUCUAAUUCUUGGUUCACAUUGAUGAUGAGUGUGGAAAAUUUUAUUGAGAGGUGGAGAUUGAUAUAAAUGAAUAUUACAUCAUGAGAGUGAAAACUUCUUCUCAUUUAAUAUUAUACAGACUUAGUAACUAUUUUUUCUCAUAGAAUCAGAAAAGAAACAUUUACUUUUGCUUAAGAGAUAUCAAUAUAAGAAAUAAAGGCUCAAAGCAGCUAUUUAACUGAAAUAAUAGCAACAGAAAAUUGCCCUUCUCUUGGGUCCAUCGUGCCCAUGUGAAGGAGUAGACGGGCGGGGGUGCUGGUUCGGUCAUGGAAGAAAGCUCCCUGUGGAGGAAGUGAGCAUUUGGGCCACGGUCUGGUAAGUUGGACAUUCCCCUCGUCAGUUCUACGUAACGGUUUCGGAACGGGCUCUUUCUCUCUGCCGUUUUGGUUCUUAGGUGCUGAUUUUAGCUUCCAUCAAUGCUGCGUGGCGAUCACUGUCAUCCUCAUACACUGCAGAUGGUGAUGCCACCCCAUCAAGACCGGGAUUACGUGAUCCUCGGCCACUGCCGUGACCUACGUGCUGGGUACACAGGAGGCUCAGUAAAUAGUUGCCAAUUAAAUAACUGUAUGCACUACAAGGAAAGAGAUAGUCUGCAAUUCCAAACAGUGCUGCAGACUUCUCCAAGCCCGGAGUCAGUGCCCUAA